AUAGGAGGUCCAGCUUGCCCAGUGAUAAAAUUCAACGGCCGCGGUAUCCUAACCGUGCGAAGGUAGCGUAAUCACUUGUCCUUUAAAUGAGGACUAGUAUGAGCGGCUUCACGAAGGCUGCACUGUCUCCUUUUUCUAAUCAGUAAAACUAAUCUCCCCGUGAAGAAGCGGGAAUCCACCUAUAAGACGAGAAGACCAUAUGGAGCUUUAAACAAUUGUUUACACUUGCACUCAAAUUCUUAUUUAAUAUCUAACCAAGCAUUAUGUUUCUAGUUUUAGGUUGGGGUGACCAUGGAGAAAAACUUAUCCUCCAUAUUGAAAGAAAUUCUAUUUCUUAGCAAAAAGUUACAUCUUGAUGCACCAACAAAUUGACCUUAAUUGACCCAAUAAUUUGAUCAACGAACCAAGUUACCCUAGGGAUAACAGCGCAAUCCACUUCAAGAGUUCUUAUCGACAAGUGGGUUUACUGAGGG
RNAcentral lists this ribosomal RNA (473 nucleotides) under Mannophryne trinitatis (Trinidad poison frog). RNAcentral's name for it is "partial 16S ribosomal RNA". It matches the Rfam family "Bacterial large subunit ribosomal RNA", at positions 1845 to 2530 of the family's 2925-position model. The record is from RNAcentral. Lineage: Eukaryota; Metazoa; Chordata; Amphibia; Anura; Aromobatidae.